UGCCAGCAGCCGCGGUAAUACAGAGGGUGCAAGCGUUAAUCGGAAUUACUGGGCGUAAAGCGUGCGUAGGCGGAUUAUUAAGUCAGAUGUGAAAGCCCCGGGCUCAACCUGGGAAUUGCAUCUGAAACUGGUAGUCUAGAGUAUGGUAGAGGAUAGUGGAAUUCCUAGUGUAGGGGUGAAAUCUGUAGAUAUUAGGAAGAACACCGGUGGCGAAGGCGAACUCCUGGCUAUAUACUGACGCUGAGGCGCGAAAGUGUGGGGAGCGAACAGGAUUAGAUA
RNAcentral lists this ribosomal RNA (279 nucleotides) under uncultured bacterium. RNAcentral describes it as "partial 16S ribosomal RNA". It matches the Rfam family "Bacterial small subunit ribosomal RNA", at positions 506 to 784 of the family's 1533-position model. The record is from RNAcentral.